CCUACGGGAGGCAGCAGUGGGGAAUAUUGCACAAUGGGGGAAACCCUGAUGCAGCGACGCCGCGUGAGUGAAGAAGUAAUUCGUUAUGUAAAGCUCUAUCAGCAGGGAAGAAAAUGACGGUACCUGAGUAAGAAGCCCCGGCUAACUACGUGCCAGCAGCCGCGGUAAUACGUAGGGGGCAAGCGUUAUCCGGAUUUACUGGGUGUAAAGGGAGCGCAGGCGGCGCGCCAAGUCUGAUGUGAAACCCCGGGGCUCAACUCCGGGCAUGCAUUGGAAACUGGCGGGCUGGAGUGCCGGAGAGGGAA
This 305-nucleotide ribosomal RNA is filed under the name uncultured bacterium. RNAcentral's name for it is "bacterial SSU rRNA". It matches the Rfam family "Bacterial small subunit ribosomal RNA", at positions 338 to 660 of the family's 1533-position model. The record is from RNAcentral.